Anas platyrhynchos (mallard) is the source of this 416-nucleotide non-coding RNA. The record is from RefSeq and is a predicted model, not a curated record. NCBI's taxonomy places the organism in Eukaryota, Metazoa, Chordata, Aves, Anseriformes, Anatidae.
UGGGUGGAGAUUUCCUUCCUAGUUUCUUCUCCUGAAAAGUUUCAUCUCAAGCUCCAGCUUGAGAAAUGGAUUGAAUCUUGACCUCUUGCAUAAACAUUGUCUCUGCAUGCCAAAGGGAAUCUUAGUGAGAACCAGAGCCUCUGUCCAGACAUGUUUCUUCAUCAUAUAACUCUGAUAGGAUAGCAACAGGGAAGGUAACAAAAAGGCUCACAAUGGACAGAAUUCCGUUUAGGAACAAGACAAAAAUGCAAUGGAUCUGCAGUGAAUCUAGGAGACAAUGAAGCAAUAUGGGGUCCAAACGCAUCCUCUUCGGAGAUUCUCACAGUAGCUGUGAUAUCCACUCUGAUCACUUACACUCAUUGUUCUCUUACUGCACGUUUCAGGACAGUAAGUAUUUUGCUUAUACUUAAGGAAAC